AUUGAACGCUGGCGGCAGGCCUAACACAUGCAAGUCGAGCGGAUGAAGGGAGCUUGCUCCUGGAUUCAGCGGCGGACGGGUGAGUAAUGCCUAGGAAUCUGCCUGGUAGUGGGGGAUAACGUCCGGAAACGGGCGCUAAUACCGCAUACGUCCUGAGGGAGAAAGUGGGGGAUCUUCGGACCUCACGCUAUCAGAUGAGCCUAGGUCGGAUUAGCUAGUUGGUGGGGUAAAGGCCUACCAAGGCGACGAUCCGUAACUGGUCUGAGAGGAUGAUCAGUCACACUGGAACUGAGAAACGGUCCAGACUCCUGCGGGAGGCAGCAGUGGGGAAUAUUGGACGAUGGGCGAAAGCCUGAUCCAGCCAUGCCGCGUGUGUGAAGAAGGUCUUCGGAUUGUAAAGCACUUUAAGUUGGGAGGAAGGGCAGUAAGUUAAUACCUUGCUGUUUUGACGUUACCAACAGAAUAAGCACCGGCUAACUUCGUG
RNAcentral lists this ribosomal RNA (484 nucleotides) under uncultured bacterium. RNAcentral's name for it is "partial 16S ribosomal RNA". It matches the Rfam family "Bacterial small subunit ribosomal RNA", at positions 30 to 507 of the family's 1533-position model. The record is from RNAcentral.